UGAUUUAAAAAAAUUUUUUUCUCUGAUUGAGGUGGAGCAGAAGAUAAGCAGAAUAAAAAUAAGAAAAAUGAACAAGCUGUUUUUGUAGAUAAAGUAAUGAGUAGAACAGAUUUAACUGAUGAAGAAAAAACAAAUUCUAGUUGAUUACUAUCAGAUGUUAGAUGACUAUUUGGACGAUGAUUGAGACUAACUAAAACCACCCCGUGGGGUAGUUUUUAAUUUUAAGAACUAACCUUGUCUUAGUCUAAGCUAGCUCAUUUUAGUGUUCUUUUAACAGCUUCGUUUCAACGCUUUGAUUUCUUUUCCCGCACAGUUUGGUUCAUUUGACUUUUGAACUGCUUAGCGAUUCCAGUUAGUUUUUCUAGUUGUUUAGUGUCCUUUCAAUAAUUAACUGCUAAACCAGCUAGGAAGGCCGCACCCAUGGCAGUGGUUUCCACAUUCUUAGGAAUAAUCACCUCUAAGUUAGCAAUAUCAGCUUGAAAUUGCAUUAAAUAGUUGGAAUUGCAAGCACCGCCAUCAGCCUUAAUUUUUUUAAUAGAACUGUUUAAAUCACUAGCCAUUGCCUUAAUCAGGUCAUUAGCUUGAAAGGCAAUUGCUUCCAAGGUAGCUUUUACUAAAUGUUCCCUUUUGGUAUUAGCUUCUAUCCCAAAGAUGGCGCCUCUUGCUGAAGCAUCCCAGUAAGGUGCGCCUAAACCAGUGAAGGCUGGGACAAACACCACUUCCUGUUCUUCCUUUUGUGCUAGCUUAGCAUAAAAGUCACUUUCAGCUGCCGAGUACAUUACCUUAAGACUAUCCCUUAAUCACUUUAAGGCUGCGCCAGCCACAAAAACACUACCUUCUAAGGCAUACACCGGUUUUUGGUUUUCUAACUGCCAAGCUACAGUUGUUAAUAAGUUAUGUUGGGAGUAUUUCAGUUCGUUACCGAUGUUCAUCAACAUAAAACAACCUGUACCAUAGGUGUUUUUAACCAUCGCUGGUUCCACGCAGAGCUGACCAAACAAGGCUGCUUGUUGGUCACCGGCAACCCCACGAAUAGGUACCAUACCAGUAGCACUAGUAGAUCAAUGACUCGGUACUAUGUCACCAAAGUGGGCAUUGGAUGGCAUCACUUUGGGUAGGAUUGAUAAAGGUACUUUAAAGAUGUCGCCUAACUCUUGUGAUCAUGUCAUGGUGGUAAUGUCAAACAAGAGCGUACGCGAUGCAUUACUUACAUCAGUUACAUGCAUCUUACCACCCGUUAGUUUUCAAAUUAACCAGGUAUCA
RNAcentral lists this small RNA (1263 nucleotides) under Mycoplasmoides pneumoniae M129. RNAcentral's name for it is "Mycoplasma pneumoniae M129 ncRNA". Lineage: Bacteria; Bacillati; Mycoplasmatota; Mycoplasmoidales; Mycoplasmoidaceae. The record is from RNAcentral.